UCACUCUUCACACACACACACACAACUCUCUCAAUUCUCACUUGUUUUUCAAAAUUCAAAGUCCAAAUUCACUUAAUUUCUCCUCAAGAUCACGUUUCUAGCUAUCUCUUUCCCUAAUUCACAAGGCACAAUGGCGGGUGGAACAAAAUCACAACCCAAAAGGCAAAAGAAAACAACAACCGCAAAUGAGACACAAACCACACCGGUUGUUCAUUGGACCACGGAAGAGAAGAUGGCUCGUCGCAAGAUGUCACAAGUCAUGCCACUCCCAACGCGUUUUGCAAACCGCGCAAUUCUUGAGAGGAUGGGAGUGCUUGAUACAUUUGAUGAGCUUCUAAAGAAGAUGGGACUUAGUUUUUUCGGGACAAUGGAUGUUCCCACGUUCCCAUUGCCUACCUUGGACUUCUUGUUCACCAUGCAAUACACAUUCGCGAACCCAAAAGUUCCAAUAGCCAAAGAAGGGAUCUUCCACUUCAAGAUCAAGAACAUGGGGUACUCGAUCUCUAUUCCCGACCUUUGUGAGGCAUAUGGAUUCGCCAACAACAACUCUAUGUGUUUCCCACAAUUCAAAGGGAUUCACAAGCUUUGGAAUAUGAUUGCUAACGGGUACUUUGUUGGGAGCUCCGCCAAAAUUAAGAGAGUCCGUCAUCCCGUAAUCCGCUACGUCUUGAAGCUCAUUGCACAUGCCUUCUUUGGGCGAAGUGACACGGCCGCCACUACGGUAACCGAGUUGUGCUUCCUCUUCCAAGGAUUGAAAGACGUGUUAUUGGAUUUUGGAGAAGAUGCGGAUAGUGGAAAAGAGAAAUGAUCAAGAAUUUGGAGAGUGGAAAAGGCCUUAAUGUCUAAAAGUUUUGGGGUUUGAUUAGGAAAAGAGAUGGUGAUUAAGAAAGGGUAGAAAUAGGAGAUUGACAUCAAAGGGUACCAUGGAGUGGAUCAAGAGAUUUGGAGUUCUUUUAAGAGAUUUUUGAGCCAAAAGAGAGUGAAUGAAUCAAACAAGUCAAGGAAGAAUCAAGAGAGAAGAAGAGGAGACAAAGAAAGAUGAUCCAAAGAGAGAAUGACACUUGAUCGACCAGCCGAUCGAUGGGGUGGUCGAUGGGAGCCAACAGCACCACACGGACGAAGAGCAAUCGAGCGACCCAUCGACCGAUCAAAGGCUAGAUAAGACGGACCGCAGGGCAGAUUGAUCGACCACUUGGUCGAUUGACCGAUCGAUUGGACCCCAUCUGGUGUAAAUUUAAGUAUCUCCUCCCAGAUGCCUUGAUCGAACAUCUGAGUCCAAUCCAGGAAUGUGAAGUCAAAUGUAAUAGUCAAUCCAAUACCUUUCUUCGAAUUUGUACCAUUUCAUAAGUGUUUUUUGCAGCUUCCACAAGUAAACGGUUAGAAGGGUAUUUCAUAUGUAUAAGUCAAUUUGUUAUUUGGUUCAUAUACGUUUCCAUGUUA
This is an RNA transcript of Arabidopsis lyrata subsp. lyrata, 1440 nucleotides long. RefSeq lists it as uncharacterized. The transcript is spliced from 3 exons. The record is from RefSeq and is a predicted model, not a curated record. NCBI's taxonomy places the organism in Eukaryota, Viridiplantae, Streptophyta, Magnoliopsida, Brassicales, Brassicaceae.